Podarcis lilfordi (Lilford's wall lizard) is the source of this 75-nucleotide non-coding RNA. The record is from the annotation of a GenBank genome assembly. NCBI's taxonomy places the organism in Eukaryota, Metazoa, Chordata, Lepidosauria, Squamata, Lacertidae.
GCUGGGAUAGCUCAGUAGGUAGAACAUGAGGCUCUUCAUCUCAGGGUCAUGGGUUCAAGCCCCAAGAUUUCUGCA